This is a long non-coding RNA of Eurytemora carolleeae, 474 nucleotides long. RefSeq lists it as uncharacterized. The record is from RefSeq and is a predicted model, not a curated record. NCBI's taxonomy places the organism in Eukaryota, Metazoa, Arthropoda, Copepoda, Calanoida, Temoridae. The transcript has 4 exons.
AGUUCUAACUAGUAUAUGUAGGUUCAGGAGUUCAGUGUAUCCGGACUAGCAGAAGAUAAGGAUAGAGUUCUGGCAGAAAGUAUUACUACAAGAAGCGGGACUGUAACCCAGGACAAGACUACUGGCGAGAGUACUGCUACAUUACAGAGUAGAACCCUCGCUACCUCACAAACUGAGAAUACCGAGGUCGGAGCUAAGGGACUGGUCUCUGCUAGCAUCAUCACAUCCAGGAAGGAGUCUUCAAUGAGUGUGCGCAAGGAAUCUGUUGUGAAGGAUAGUUCCUACGCAUCUCGUGUUGCGUCAAUGAGUUCAGCUGCUGACCCUUCUUCAACCCAACUUGUUGAUGAUUCUAAUCAGGAUGACAGUAUAGCUGAGGGAAAGAUUGUCUCCUCCCAGACCAUCUCCAGCAAGAGCAGGACCGUGGAGACGACCACAUACGAGAUGGAGCAGGAGGGGAGAACAGAAACCCAUAUU